GAAGCGGGGGAUAACACCUGGAAACAGAUGCUAAUACCGCAUAACAACUUGGACCGCAUGGUCCGAGCUUGAAAGAUGGCUUCGGCUAUCACUUUUGGAUGGUCCCGCGGCGUAUUAGCUAGAUGGUGGGGUAACGGCUCACCAUGGCAAUGAUACGUAGCCGACCUGAGAGGGUAAUCGGCCACAUUGGGACUGAGACACGGCCCAAACUCCUACGGGAGGCAGCAGUAGGGAAUCUUCCACAAUGGACGAAAGUCUGAUGGAGCAACGCCGCGUGAGUGAAGAAGGGUUUCGGCUCGUAAAACUCUGUUGUUAAAGAAGAACAUAUCUGAGAGUAACUGUUCAGGUAUUGACGGUAUUUAACCAGAAAGCCACGGCUAACUACGUGCCAGCAGCCGCGGUAAUAC
RNAcentral lists this ribosomal RNA (407 nucleotides) under Lactiplantibacillus plantarum. RNAcentral's name for it is "bacterial SSU rRNA". It matches the Rfam family "Bacterial small subunit ribosomal RNA", at positions 133 to 526 of the family's 1533-position model. The record is from RNAcentral. Lineage: Bacteria; Bacillati; Bacillota; Bacilli; Lactobacillales; Lactobacillaceae.